CCCCGUUCCUAAGUACUCGUGCCGCAGGAGAGAUGUAUUAAUCUGCAAGUUCCUCCUGCUGCUCAAGUUCUUAACCAAUGGGU
This is a non-coding RNA of Daphnia pulex (common water flea), 83 nucleotides long. The record is from Rfam. NCBI's taxonomy places the organism in Eukaryota, Metazoa, Arthropoda, Branchiopoda, Diplostraca, Daphniidae.